AAGGCCUUCGGGUUGUAAAGCACUUUUGGCAGCGAUGAAAAGGUUCUGGCUAAUACCUGGAACUGCUGACGGUACCUGCAGAAUAAGCACCGGCUAACUACGUGCCAGCAGCCGCGGUAAUACGUAGGGUGCAAGCGUUAAUCGGAAUUACUGGGCGUAAAGCGUGCGCAGGCGGUUUGGCAAGAAGGAUGUGAAAUCCCGGGGCUUAACCUCGGAACUGCAUUCUUAACUGCCAGGCUGGAGUAUGUCAGAGGGGGGUAGAAUUCCACGUGUAGCAGUGAAAUGCGUAGAGAUGUGGAGGAAUACCGAUGGCGAAGGCAGCCCCCUGGGAUAAUACUGACGCUCAUGCACGAAAGCGUGGGGAGCAAACAGGAUUAGAUACCCUGGUAGUCCACGCCCUAAACGAUGUCAACUAGCUGUUGGGGCCUUCGGGCCUUAGUAGCGCAGCUAACGCGUGAAGUUGACCGCCUGGGGAGUACGGUCGCAAGAUUAAAACUCAAAGGAAUUGACGGGGACCCGCACAAGCGGUGGAUGAUGUGGAUUAAUUCGAUGCAACGCGAAAAACCUUACCUACCCUUGACAUGUCUGGAAUCCCGAAGAGAUUUGGGAGUGCUCGCAAGAGAACCGGAACACAGGUGCUGCAUGGCUG
This 649-nucleotide ribosomal RNA is filed under the name uncultured Pusillimonas sp. RNAcentral's name for it is "bacterial SSU rRNA". It matches the Rfam family "Bacterial small subunit ribosomal RNA", at positions 411 to 1051 of the family's 1533-position model. Lineage: Bacteria; Pseudomonadati; Pseudomonadota; Betaproteobacteria; Burkholderiales; Alcaligenaceae. The record is from RNAcentral.